This 1132-nucleotide ribosomal RNA is filed under the name Lactobacillus helveticus. RNAcentral's name for it is "bacterial SSU rRNA". It matches the Rfam family "Bacterial small subunit ribosomal RNA", at positions 341 to 1466 of the family's 1533-position model. Lineage: Bacteria; Bacillati; Bacillota; Bacilli; Lactobacillales; Lactobacillaceae. The record is from RNAcentral.
ACGGGAGGCAGCAGUAGGGAAUCUUCCACAAUGGACGCAAGUCUGAUGGAGCAACGCCGCGUGAGUGAAGAAGGUUUUCGGAUCGUAAAGCUCUGUUGUUGGUGAAGAAGGAUAGAGGUAGUAACUGGCCUUUAUUUGACGGUAAUCAACCAGAAAGUCACGGCUAACUACGUGCCAGCAGCCGCGGUAAUACGUAGGUGGCAAGCGUUGUCCGGAUUUAUUGGGCGUAAAGCGAGCGCAGGCGGAAGAAUAAGUCUGAUGUGAAAGCCCUCGGCUUAACCGAGGAACUGCAUCGGAAACUGUUUUUCUUGAGUGCAGAAGAGGAGAGUGGAACUCCAUGUGUAGCGGUGGAAUGCGUAGAUAUAUGGAAGAACACCAGUGGCGAAGGCGACUCUCUGGUCUGCAACUGACGCUGAGGCUCGAAAGCAUGGGUAGCGAACAGGAUUAGAUACCCUGGUAGUCCAUGCCGUAAACGAUGAGUGCUAAGUGUUGGGAGGUUUCCGCCUCUCAGUGCUGCAGCUAACGCAUUAAGCACUCCGCCUGGGGAGUACGACCGCAAGGUUGAAACUCAAAGGAAUUGACGGGGGCCCGCACAAGCGGUGGAGCAUGUGGUUUAAUUCGAAGCAACGCGAAGAACCUUACCAGGUCUUGACAUCUAGUGCCAUCCUAAGAGAUUAGGAGUUCCCUUCGGGGACGCUAAGACAGGUGGUGCAUGGCUGUCGUCAGCUCGUGUCGUGAGAUGUUGGGUUAAGUCCCGCAACGAGCGCAACCCUUAUUAUUAGUUGCCAGCAUUAAGUUGGGCACUCUAAUGAGACUGCCGGUGACAAACCGGAGGAAGGUGGGGAUGACGUCAAGUCAUCAUGCCCCUUAUGACCUGGGCUACACACGUGCUACAAUGGACAGUACAACGAGAAGCGAGCCUGCGAAGGCAAGCGAAUCUCUGAAAGCUGUUCUCAGUUCGGACUGCAGUCUGCAACUCGACUGCACGAAGCUGGAAUCGCUAGUAAUCGCGGAUCAGAACGCCGCGGUGAAUACGUUCCCGGGCCUUGUACACACCGCCCGUCACACCAUGGAAGUCUGCAAUGCCCAAAGCCGGUGGCCUAACCUUCGGGAAGGAGCCGUCUAAGGCAGG